UAUGAGAUUAGAGAUUUUAAAAACACAUACAUAUAUUUUCACUCAGUGUAGUGUAUGAGCAGCUGAUUGGACAUGCAGACAUUUUGCUUGAAUAUUGUACCACUUAAUGAACACUGUUGAAUCAGUUGCCCUAACUUUAAAAAAAAAAAAACAACGAAGUUCCCCAUCUUGUUCCACUUCCCUUCUCGUGACAGAAGAAGCAAACGGUUAACGGCAAGACACAGAGACACAGAGGAGAGUGGGGUUGUGCUGGGGUGGGAAUGUUCAUCAACAUCAAAGUGGGAUUUUAUUUUAAAAAACAAAACAAAGUCAUAACAAGUACACAAGAAAAGAUUUGAUGUUAUUGCUUUCAUGCUGCUGUUGCACAGAGAUUUCUAAGAGCACAAAAGUUUGUUUUUUGGGUGGGUGUCAGCAGGCGGAGAAGAAAGAGGGUGGUGGGCAUGACGGAGUAUGGGGGGCGUCUGCAGCUCACGUGCACACAGAUGAAGUGAGAAACACGUCUUUCUGUCCCUUAGCCUGCUGCUGCUUUAAAGGUGCUUCUACAAACCCACAGAAUGACUUCCAUGAAAUCUUAUUCCUGCCAAAUAAAGAGUCACUUUUGAAUCUUUUUAAUGAUUAAUACGAUAGCUUUAACUACCUGUAGGCUUUAGGUCAGCUUCCUGCUUUCUGCACUUCAGCCUUUUAUUUUGUAUUUUCUCCUUAAUUGUUUUGUCCUACAACGUUAUGGUUCCUUUUUUUCUUUGUACCCACAUAGAAGCUAGAGGCUGAACUGGCUUGGAUUUAGUUGAGGGGGAGAUGAUGAGGGGGUUUGUUUGGGCUGAGGGGGGAGUUCUGUGCCAGAGACCUGUGAAUAUGUUGCUUUUAAGCAGAUGUGUAAUUCAGAAGAUGUAUAAGUUCCAUUUUUUUUUUGUGCGUGUGAGCGUGCGUACACGAGUACCUGGUGCUGGCUAUGCUUUAGCAAACACUUUAAGGUAUUGUGUAUUCUCUCAUUGUAAUAUAAUUAAAAUGUUUUAUACAGAAA
Long non-coding RNA from Astatotilapia calliptera (eastern happy), 1021 nucleotides. The record is from Ensembl. NCBI's taxonomy places the organism in Eukaryota, Metazoa, Chordata, Actinopteri, Cichliformes, Cichlidae.